RNAcentral lists this ribosomal RNA (450 nucleotides) under uncultured bacterium. Its description in RNAcentral is "partial 16S ribosomal RNA". It matches the Rfam family "Bacterial small subunit ribosomal RNA", at positions 354 to 796 of the family's 1533-position model. The record is from RNAcentral.
GUGGGGAAUCUUCCGCAAUGGACGAAAGUCUGACGGAGCGACGCCGCGUGAGUGAAGAAGGCCUUCGGGUCGUAAAGCUCUGUCAUCAGGGACGAACGGCCGGUGGAGUGGAAAGCCACCGGAUUGACGGUACCUGAGAAGGAAGCCACGGCUAACUACGUGCCAGCAGCCGCGGUAAUACGUAGGUGGCAAGCGUUGUCCGGAAUUAUUGGGCGUAAAGCGCGCGCAGGUGGGAUCUUAAGUCCAUUUUUAAAGUUCGGAGCUCAACUCCGUGAUGGGAUGGAAACUGGGAUUCUUGAGUACCGUAGAGGAAAGCGGAAUUCCCCGUGUAGCGGUGAAAUGCGUAGAUAUGGGGAGGAACACCAGUGGCGAAGGCGGCUUUCUGGACGGUGUCUGACGCUGAGGCGCGAAAGCUAGGGGAGCGAACGGGAUUAGAUACCCUUGUAGUCC